Molecule: transfer RNA, 94 nt
Filed under: Trichosporon asahii var. asahii CBS 2479
Lineage: Eukaryota; Fungi; Basidiomycota; Tremellomycetes; Trichosporonales; Trichosporonaceae
Description: tRNA-Val
Source: RNAcentral
GGCCACUUAGCUCAGUUGGUUAGAGCGUAUGCUUAACACUCGAACACGGGGAGAUUUACGCAUAAGGUCGGCGGUUCGACCCCGCCAGAGGUCA